GGGAGGUUUCCCGAGUGGCCAAAGGGGGCAGACUGUAAAUCUGUUGUCUUUCGACUUCGGUGGUCCGAAUCCACCACCUCCCACCA
Molecule: transfer RNA, 86 nt
Filed under: Oscillospiraceae bacterium
Lineage: Bacteria; Bacillati; Bacillota; Clostridia; Eubacteriales; Oscillospiraceae
Description: tRNA-Tyr
Rfam family: tRNA
About the family: Transfer RNA (tRNA) molecules are approximately 80 nucleotides in length. Their secondary structure includes four short double-helical elements and three loops (D, anti-codon, and T loops).
Source: RNAcentral